GCAGCCGCGCUGUAGAGACACUGUUGAAAUGUGCGGAAAGUAAUGAGAAUGGGAAUGGCCGAGAACUCUGGAGACUGACUACCCGGGAGGGAAGUCAUGCGCGCGCGGCGCCUAAGCAGCUCAGAGCCGGGAGCCCAGGUCCCAGAGCUGACAAUUAAGCCGCGGGACCUCCGCGCCAGUGCCUCCAGCUGCCGCGCGCCAGCCUUGGCCGCCACAGCCCGCCUCCCGGCGCUCGCGGGACAGAGACCGCCUCAAAGAGCGGGCGCACCUGCCACCGCGCGCUGGAGCUGACCUCUCCCGGCGGCGGGCGGUUAGGGGAAAGUACCUGGGAGAAAGGUAGAGGAGGUAAGGGGACCCUUGGGGGGUGCCCCUACGGGCUACCAGGGUUGAACGCACAGGCAUGGUCACGUCGGGGUAUUGCCAAGCUUUUGGCGCAGCUGGUCGGGUGGCCAGGCUGCAUGCGGCUUAGCAGGAGACGUCCUGGGCUGUUUGCGCAGGACCUCUGGAGGCCCUCGAGAUGGUCGCAAGCGGAAAGGUGCUGGAGAAUCUGGUAAAAGCACCAUUGUGAAGCAGAUGAGGAUCCUGCAUGUUAAUGGGUUUAAUGGAGAAAUGUAUUAUCCCUAGAUGAUGGCUACAGUUUCUCAUCUUCCCGGCUAUGUCCUAUCACAAUUUGCAUGCUGGAAUUGCUCGGUCUUAGGAACUUCUAAUAAGAAUACUAUUCUGUUAUCUGAGGGGGGAGGGGGGAUGGGGCCCCUACUACCUGACCUUAAACGAUGAUUGAAAAAAUGAAAAAUGGACUGAAAUCCUUAAUUGGCAGAAAUGUAGUAUGACAACUAUCCAAAAAGGCAUCUCUCUAAGAAAUGACUAAUUGACAAUCUGCUGUACCAAAAGUUGGCAUUUGAGCAAGAUAUGACAAGUCCUUAGUGAGCAACCUACUGUGUACUAGAUGUCCUGCUAAACCCUUGAACCCUACUAAUACCUUGGCCUGCACGUCUCUCUGACUCUGUUCUGCAAGUCAAUAUAAGUAUUAACAUUCGUGAUAAAUAAAAAUUCUCUGCAUGUUUCAGCAA
Molecule: small RNA, 1070 nt
Filed under: Pongo abelii (Sumatran orangutan)
Lineage: Eukaryota; Metazoa; Chordata; Mammalia; Primates; Hominidae
Description: processed transcript
Source: RNAcentral